This 637-nucleotide ribosomal RNA is filed under the name uncultured Propionibacterium sp. Its description in RNAcentral is "bacterial SSU rRNA". It matches the Rfam family "Bacterial small subunit ribosomal RNA", at positions 870 to 1504 of the family's 1533-position model. Lineage: Bacteria; Bacillati; Actinomycetota; Actinomycetes; Propionibacteriales; Propionibacteriaceae. The record is from RNAcentral.
CGCCUGGGGAGUGCGGCCGCAAGGCUAAAACUCAAAGGAAUUGACGGGGCCCCGCACAAGCGGCGGAGCAUGCGGAUUAAUUCGAUGCAACGCGUAGAACCUUACCUGGGUUUGACAUGGAUCGGGAGUGCUCAGAGAUGGGUGUGCCUCUUUUGGGGUCGGUUCACAGGUGGUGCAUGGCUGUCGUCAGCUCGUGUCGUGAGAUGUUGGGUUAAGUCCCGCAACGAGCGCAACCCUUGUUCACUGUUGCCAGCACGUUAUGGUGGGGACUCAGUGGAGACCGCCGGGGUCAACUCGGAGGAAGGUGGGGAUGACGUCAAGUCAUCAUGCCCCUUAUGUCCAGGGCUUCACGCAUGCUACAAUGGCUGGUACAGAGAGCGGCGAGCCUGUGAGGGUGAGCGAAUCUCGGAAAGCCGGUCUCAGUUCGGAUUGGGGUCUGCAACUCGACCUCAUGAAGUCGGAGUCGCUAGUAAUCGCAGAUCAGCAACGCUGCGGUGAAUACGUUCCCGGGGCUUGUACACACCGCCCGUCAAGUCAUGAAAGUUGGUAACACCCGAAGCCGGUGGCCUAACCGUUGUGGGGGAGCCGUCGAAGGUGGGACUGGUGAUUAGGACUAAGUCGUAACAAGGUAACCGUA